AAUCAACGCUGGCGGCGUGCCUAACACAUGCAAGUCGAACGCGAAAGGGGCUUCGGUCCUGAGUAGAGUGGCGUCCGGGUGAGUAACGCGUGGGUAAUCUACCUUUGGGUGGGGAAUAACUAGUCGAAAGGCUAGCUAAUACCGCAUAAUGCAAUUUUCUACUAGAAUUUUGUUAAAGCAGUAAUGUGCCUAAAGAUGAGCCUGCGUCUGAUUAGUUUGUUGGUAGGGUAAUGGCCUACCAAGACUACUAUCAGUAGCUGGUCUGAGAGGACGGCCAGCCACAAUGGCACUGAAACACGGGCCAUACUCCUACGGGAGGCAGCAGUGGGGAAUUUUGCGCAAUGAGCGAAAGCUUGACGCAGCAACGCCGCGUGAAGGAUGAAAUCCUUCGGGAUGUAAACUUCGCAAGUAUGGGAAGAAAAAAAUGACGGUACCAUAUGUAAGCCCCGGCUAACUCCGUGCCAGCAGCCGCGGUAAGGAUGAGACGU
Molecule: ribosomal RNA, 488 nt
Filed under: uncultured bacterium
Lineage: Bacteria
Description: bacterial SSU rRNA
Rfam family: Bacterial small subunit ribosomal RNA
Source: RNAcentral